This 811-nucleotide ribosomal RNA is filed under the name uncultured archaeon. RNAcentral describes it as "bacterial SSU rRNA". It matches the Rfam family "Archaeal small subunit ribosomal RNA", at positions 85 to 879 of the family's 1478-position model. The record is from RNAcentral.
ACGGCUCAGUAACACGUGGCUAAUCUGCCCUUGGGACUGGAACAUCCCCGGGAAACUGGGGCUAAUUCUUGAUAGGUGAAGAACUCUGGAAUGAGUCUUUGCUUAAAAGGCGUUUGCGUUAUGCUCGUAGGCGUCGCCCAAGGAUGAGGCCGCGACCGAUCAGGUUGUUGGUGAGGUAAUGGCUCACCAAGCCUUUUACCGGUGCGGGCCGUGAGAGCGGGAGCCCGGAGAUGAGCACUGAGACAAGGGCCCAGGCCCUACGGGGCGCAGCAGUCGCGAAAACUUUGCAAUACACGAAAGUGUGACAGGGCUAUCCCGAGUGCCAUCCGCUGAGGAAGGCUUUUACCCAGUCUAGAACGCUGGGGGAAUAAGGAGAGGGCAAGUCUGGUGUCAGCCGCCGCGGUAAUACCAGCUCUCCGAGUGGUGUGGAUGUUUAUUGGGCCUAAAGCAUCCGUAGCUGGCUAAGUUAGUCCCUUGUUAAAUCCACCGAAUUAAUCGUUGGAUUGCGGGGGAUACUGCUUGGCUAGGGGACGAGAGAGGCAGACGGUAUUUCCGGGGUAGGGGUGAAAUCCUAUAAUCCCGGGAAGACCACCAGUGGCGAAGGCUGUCUGCUAGAACGCGCCCGACGGUGAGGGAUGAAAGCUGGGGGAGCGAACCGGAUUAGAUACCCGGGUAGUCCCAGCUGUAAACGAUGCAGGCUAGGUGUUUGGACGGCCACGUGCCGUUCUAGUGCCGCAGGGAAGCUGUUAAGCCUGCCGCCUGGGGAGUACGAUCGCAAGAUUGAAACUUAAAGGAAUUGGCGGGGGAGCAC